This is a long non-coding RNA of Scylla paramamosain (green mud crab), 332 nucleotides long. RefSeq lists it as uncharacterized. NCBI's taxonomy places the organism in Eukaryota, Metazoa, Arthropoda, Malacostraca, Decapoda, Portunidae. The record is from RefSeq and is a predicted model, not a curated record. The transcript is spliced from 3 exons.
GUAGAAUCGGUGCUGCUGCCCGACUACGUGGGUUGUAUUUCUAGUUUGUCCUCUCGAACAUUUUAUUUGUGGCCAAGGUGAAACAGGACCACCGAAUUCCUAACUGAAGCUUGUUCCCAGUGGCCUGGCAACACGACCAAUCCUCUGCGAUGGAGGACACCGUGCACUGCCGCUGUGUGCGCUGCGGGGACGGCAGCCCUGGCUUUGAGGCGCAUUUCUGGAGGUCUUUAGGUGUUGGUAACGCUGGUCUAGCCCGAUAUCAGUAAGGGACUGUGUAUUCACCUCAAGAACGCUGUCUGCAUCCUCCCUUUGGACUGUUCGCUGGUCUAGGU